GACGAACGCUGGCGGCGUGCCUAACACAUGCAAGUCGAGCGCGCAGCCCUCGGUAGCAAUACCGGUGGUGGGCGAGCGGCGAACGGGUGCGUAACACGUGGGCAACCUGCCCCAGACUCUGGGAUAACCCCGGGAAACCGGGGCUAAUACCGGAUACUCUCGGCCGGCCGCAUGAUCGGCCGAGGAAAGCUCCGACGGUCUGGGAUGGGCCCGCGGCCUAUCAGCUCGUUGGGGGGGUAACGGCCUACCAAGGCGACGACGGGUAGCUGGUCUGAGAGGACGGGCAGCCACGCGGGGACGGGGAUACGGGCCAGACUGCUACGGGAGGCAGGAGUGGGGAAUCUAGAGCAAUGGGCGGAAGCCUGACGCAGCGACGCCGCGUGAGGGAUGAAGGCCUUCGGGUUGUAAACCUCUGUCGGCAGGGACGAAGCGAAAGUGACGGUACCUGCAGAAGAAGCCCCGGCUAACUACGUGCCAGCCGCCGCGGUAA
Molecule: ribosomal RNA, 490 nt
Filed under: uncultured bacterium
Lineage: Bacteria
Description: partial 16S ribosomal RNA
Rfam family: Bacterial small subunit ribosomal RNA
Source: RNAcentral